This 430-nucleotide unclassified non-coding RNA is filed under the name Hevea brasiliensis (rubber tree). Lineage: Eukaryota; Viridiplantae; Streptophyta; Magnoliopsida; Malpighiales; Euphorbiaceae. The record is from RNAcentral.
GAGAAGGUGUGAUGGAGAGAUGAGUAGGUAGGGAAAGCCAUUUACAGGUGGGUAUAAUUAUACUUGGAAAAGCAAUCAUCUUGAAUAUAGAACGGAGAAGAGAAGAGAAUAUUGAAUGGAUUUUGUUGAGUCGUUGUAUCGGAGAGGCUUUAGGAACGAGAAGCUUAUCGGAGAUGUCUUCCAGUUCAGCUAUGGGAGGUGUUGAUCUCAUGUAGUUUGAAGGGAUGAUCCUUCUUGUACUCCUGCUACAGCUACUGUUACUUUGAAGGGUGAUGAGUUCUUGGCGUUUCAUUCUUUAAAGAAAGAAAGAAUUCAGGAUCACCUGGAGAUGGAGAUGAUUUCUUGUUUCUUGAUGAAGAAAGAGAGGUAGAGAGAAAGAGAGGAGAAGAUGGGGUUGAAGAGGGGCCCGACAAGGUGAUGAUGGUGUUUG